CCAAUAGCGUAUAUUAAAGUUGUUGCAGUUAAAAAGCUCGUAGUUGAAUUUCGGGGUCAGUAGGUUGGUCAUGCCACUGGUAUGUACUGGUCUCACUGAUUCCUCCUUCCUGAUGAGCCGUAAUGCCAUUAAUUUGGUGUUGCGAGGAAUCUGGACUGUUACUUUGAAAAAAUUAGAGUGUUUAAAGCAGGCUAACGCUUGAAUACAUUAGCAUGGAAUAAUGAAAUAGGACGUUCGAUCCUAUUUUGUUGGUUUUUAGGAUUGACGUAAUGAUUAAUAGGGAUAGUUGGGGGAAUUAGUAUUCAAUUGUCAGAGGUGAAAUUCUUGGAUUUAUUGAAGACUAACUACUGCGAAAGCAUUUGCCAAGGAUGUUUUCAUUAAUCAAGAACGAAAGUUAGGGGAUCGAAGACGAUCAGAUACCGUCGUAGUCUUAACCAUAAACUAUGCCGACUAGGGAUCGGAUGAUGUUAAUUUUUUAAUGACUCAUUCGGCGCCUUACG
This 500-nucleotide ribosomal RNA is filed under the name uncultured Glomeromycotina. RNAcentral's name for it is "partial small subunit ribosomal RNA". It matches the Rfam family "Eukaryotic small subunit ribosomal RNA", at positions 591 to 1092 of the family's 1831-position model. The record is from RNAcentral. Lineage: Eukaryota; Fungi; Glomeromycota.